This 1635-nucleotide unclassified non-coding RNA is filed under the name Limulus polyphemus (Atlantic horseshoe crab). Its description in RNAcentral is "probable palmitoyltransferase ZDHHC14, transcript variant X1". Lineage: Eukaryota; Metazoa; Arthropoda; Merostomata; Xiphosura; Limulidae. The record is from RNAcentral.
GCCUAAGUAAUAGACAGGGUGUUGUUAUGUUAUAUAAGAAGGAAUGCGGGAAGUCAGUAACUUUAUGUAAAUAAUCUUUUCUGCCUUCAAAUAAAAUCAAUUCUUUGCAUUUUUGGAAUUAAAAAUUUUAGGUCUUCAUGCAAAAUACUGUAAAACUUAAAGAAAGACAUACUUUGGAAUUUAUUGGUAAAUUAUUAAAUUUAGGCUUAAGCCUUAAACACAGUGUUUUACUUUUAGGGCAUAACGUUAGUUUUCGGGUAAUAACUUUUCUAAUACAUUAGUAGCUUCGUUUUCUGCAAAUCCAUGGUCAGUGAACUUACAUAUACAGCAGUUUUAACAGACUCUCCAACUCAGUUUGUAAAAGAUCUUCCUUUCAAAAUGUCUGGUCAUGCAAAACGAAAAUGGGAAGUAUUUCCUGGAAGAAACAAGUUUUACUGCGAUGGACGAAUCAUGAUGGCUCGGCAAACAGGAGUGUUUUAUUUCACCGUUGGCCUGAUUGUAGUGACAUGCACCUUGUUUUUUAUCUUUGAUUGCCCUUAUCUGACAGAAGAAAUUAGCCCUGCAAUUCCAGCUAUAGCUGUGGUACUUUUUUUGUUUGUUAUGACUUCACUACUAAGAACAAGCUUCAGUGACCCUGGUGUUAUCCCUCGUGCUACUCCAGAAGAGGCGGCUGAUAUAGAAAAACAAAUCGCAGAAGUGCCAAAUGGUUCAAGUUCUCCAACAUACAGACCACCACCAAGAACUAAAGAAAUUGCUAUUCGAGGACAAACUGUGAAACUGAAAUACUGCUUCACAUGUAAAAUCUUUCGUCCUCCAAGGGCUUCCCAUUGUAGUUUAUGUGAUAAUUGUGUAGACAGAUUUGAUCACCAUUGCCCAUGGGUAGGAAACUGUGUUGGCCGAAGAAAUUACAAAUACUUCUACAUGUUCAUUAUGUCUUUAGCCUUUCUGUGUGUCUUCAUAUUUGGCUGUAUCAUUGCCCAUCUUGUCCUAGUUUCCAGGAAAACAAACUUUCUUGAAGCUGUUAAAGAAUCACCAGCAAGUGUUGUGGAAGGUGUGGUAUGUUUUUUUUCAGUUUGGUCAAUCCUAGGUCUAGCAGGAUUUCACACAUACUUGACUACUUCAAACCAAACAACGAAUGAAGAUAUCAAAGGUUCCUUCUCCAACCGAAGAGGACGGGAUGUUUUUAAUCCUUAUAGUCAAGGAUCAUUUAUCAGCAACUGUGUUACAGUAUUAUGUGUGGCAUCCCCUCCUAGUGUAAUAGACAGAAGAGGAUACAUGGUUCCUGAAGGAAGUAUUUCAGGCCCAGGAAAUUAUGGAGCAGUGAAAGUGGGUCACCUCAAGAAUGGAACUCCAGGUGCUACAGCUACUUUAACCAGCCAGAUAAAUACUUCUCAAGGUUAUCCAAAUCCUCUUCCAUUCAUACAGUCUACUAAUGGCAGUUUACGUGGUAUCCGGGAUGGAACGUACCAAAAUAUUGGUUCACCAGGUAGGGUAGGUGCAAACCAUUGAAAUCAUAUGGGCUAAAAGGAAAGAAGUGAGAACACUCGCUUGUUAUGUGACAACAAAAAUCGUGGCAACAUCCCAAUAGCUGUUGUCUCACCACAAUCUCGAACCCAUAGCAAAGCUGAUGAAGAC